This 24762-nucleotide long non-coding RNA is filed under the name Triticum aestivum (bread wheat). RNAcentral describes it as "long non-coding RNA (TAES_LNC006672)". The stretch from base 24031 to 24156 matches the Rfam family "MIR1120/MIR1122 microRNA precursor family". Lineage: Eukaryota; Viridiplantae; Streptophyta; Magnoliopsida; Poales; Poaceae. The record is from RNAcentral.
UUUUUUUUUGGUCACUAUCAAGUUUUUAUUGUUUAGUAAAUCAACAAAACCAUAUCAUGCAAUCACAAAUUUAGUACAAAAUCAUUUUUUUUCUUAGGGAUAAUAAAUGCUCUCAUCGUUCUAUAUUAGUUGUUCAUGAUUUAGCACAACUUGAUUUAGCACAAAGACGUACUAAAUCAUCGAGAACUAAUAUGAAACGUAGGGAGUAAGUUUUUCUUUUGUUUUGGAAAAAUUUCCUAAGCAACCAAACAAGGCCUAAAGAAGUUUUCAGGACCGUCAUGUUUUUGUGAGUUGAUUGGCAUUGUCUGCGAGAAACGUUCCUGGUUCCAUGGAUGUAUGUAAUACUCCCUCCUGAAAGGAUCGAUAUGGUUGACUAGAGGGCGGGGGGUGAAUAGGCAACUAACAAUUUUUAAGCUUUUCUUUAACAAUUUAAACCUUGCAACAAAAUAGGUUGUCUAGAUAUGCAACUAUGUAGACAACCUAUAUGAUGCAAAGACAACUAGCACACAAGCAAGCAAUAGAUGCAACACAAGUAAGCUUGCAAAAGUAAAGGCACGAAAUAACCAAGAGUGGAGCCGGUGGAGACGAGGAUGUGUUACCGAAGUUCCUUCCUUUUAAGGGGAAGUACGUCUCUGUUAGAGCGGUGUGGAGGCACAAUGCUCCCCAAGAAGCCACUAGGGCCACCGUAAUCUCCUCACGCCCUCACACAAUGCGAGAUGCCGUGAUUCCACUAUUGGUGCCCUUGAAGGCGGCGACCGAACCUUUACAAACAAGUUUGGGGCUAUCCCCACAACACUUGGAGGCUCCCAACAACACCACGAAGCUUCACCACAAUGGAGUAUGGCUUCGAGGUGACCUCAACCGUCUAGGGUGCUCAAACACCCAAGAGUAACAAGAUCCGCUAGGGAUUAGUGGGGGAAUUAAAUUUCUCUUGGUGGAAGUGUAGAUCGGGGCCUUCUCAACCAAUCCCGAGCAAAUCAACAAGUUUGAUUGGCUAGGGAGAGAGAUCGGGCGAAAAUGGAGCUUGGAGCAACAAUGGAGCUUUUGGGGGAAGAGGUAAGUCAACUUUGGGGAAGAAGACACCUUUAUAUAGUAGGGGAAACAAUCCAACCGUUACCCCCCCCCCAAAGAGCCACGCACAGAGCGGUACUACCGCUUGGGUAGGACGGUACUACCACUGAUAAGCGGUACUACCGCUCCCUCCCAGCGGUACUGCCGCGCUGACGAGGGAUGCAGGGUCCUGGCCCCAGAGCGGUACUACCGCGGAAGUAUUGGCGGUACUACCGCUUGGAGCGGUACUACCGCCACUACUACCGCUACUAGUACCGUAAAACCCGACACGAAAAACAGCGGUCGAGAGUCGAGGCGGUAGUAGCCCAGAACCACUACGGUACUACGGCCGAAGACCCCAAGCGGUACUACCGCUCGGGGAGCGGUACUACCGCUUGACAUGCUUCGGCGGUACUACCGCUGAGGACCGCGGUACUACCGCUGGGACAGGACAGGCAGGCACAGAUAGGAAAGAUAGCUCCAAUGAAGCGGAAAGAAGCAUCGGGUGUGAUAAGGAUGUGUAUGUGUUGAUUCCAUCCUGGCCUUACCAAAGCGGAUCCCCUCUUGAUAGUACGGUGACUCCUACAAAACUAGACCACCAGCAGAGAAACGAAGGAGCUACACCGUCUUGAAUAAAACACCGAGGGGAGGUAAUCGUCUCGUGCCAAAGGAUGAAUCUCUGAAAGAACUCAACGCACAUGAUUAGUCCGCAAAAGCAUUGUCAUCAAUCACCAAAACAUCUUGGGGAUAAAUAUGCCCUUACAAUCUCCCCCUUUUUGGUGGAUUGAUGACAAUACGUGAUUUGCACAAACAGGAAAGAUAUAGGACAAGCGCAAAACCCCACCGUCCUAAAAUGUAGAUGGGCUCCCCCUAGAUGUGUGCUGUCUAGAUAAGUGCUUUGGACUGCACGGCACAGAUACCAGGAUCAACGCUCCCCCUACAUUUUAGAGACCAACUACCUAAGCAGGGUAUAUGAGAGCAACAUAGAUAACAGGAUAAGCAUGCAACUCAUAAGCUAGAUAGACAUAGAUAAUGAUACUCGAAAGAUAAGGUAGCAUAUGUCUCACACCAUAUGACUAGAACUUAGGUCUCACUGACACAAACCAAACAAGGCAAACUGCGAGAAAACACAGAAGACGGAAGACACAACACAAAUCCCUAAACUCUCUCCCCCUUUGGCAUCGAGACACCAAAAAGGAGAGGGAGUGUUGCUACGGCUCCAGGUGAUAGCAAGAGAGGGACUCAAAUAUCAGGUCUCAGCGGGAUCGUCUGCGCCACCGUCGUCGGUCGGGAAGUGCUCGGCAUCAGAAUCGGUCCACGGGCAGUGCUGCUGAAUCCACUCCUCCUCCUCGGUAAGCUGGUCCUCAGAUCCACUAUUAACGGUGGCACCCAACUGAUGCAUGAUCUCCUUGUGACGACUACGGGCCUUCUUCUCAGCCACAUGAGUCAUGUACUGACCGUGAGACUCCAUGCAGAACAGCUUCUUCAUCUUGAGCUUGAGCUUCUUUGCCCAAGAGGGCUUUGCCGCAGAAGGCACAUAGUCAUCAUCAUCCUCAGCCUCAGCCUCCUCCUCGAUCUCCAUGGCAGUAGCAGAUGAAGGACUUCCAGAUUUAGGGACCUGAGUGCCCCAGUUGUCCUUCUUCCUCAGACACUUGAUGUCGUGAGAAACCAACUCUCUAGUCUCUAGCAUCACCUUGGGAUAGACACGAUCCCAGGCCUUCUUGAUAAGCAGCAUGAUGAACGGACCAUAAAUCGGGCACUUGCGCUCGGAGAUAGCAGAUAAAAGCUCAGACCACAUAACAUGAGAUAUAUCCAGGGACUCUCCGAUGUUUUGUUCCUUCUCACGCUGGCAGAAGAGAAGCAUGUCCACGAGAUAAGAAUGAACCAUAUCCAGAUUCCCGAUGCGAGGGAAAAGAGUCUCACGGAAGACAUGGUGAAGAAUGUCCAGAAAGGCAGGCAGCUCAUACGUUUCCUUCUUCGUCUCAGGGUUGAUCUUCAAAGUGUAGUAGGGCCAUAGAGCUUGCUUGUGAGUGGAGGCGGUGUUGCGGUGUGGGCGAAAGCCGACAAGAGACGCAAGCCCUUGAUCUUCCACCCCAAUCAAUUCCAUGAACGCCUUCCACUUGACUGAAAGCAACUUGCCAUUGGUCAUCCAAGUUAGUGUCCUGUCCUCAUCAGUCCCGAGAUGAACCAUGGCAUAGAAUUGGGCCACAAUAUCAGCAUCAUAAUCUUUGUUGAAUUGCAUGACACCAAGAAUGUUCAGUUGAGUGCACAUCUGAAGAGCUUCACCAAAGUAUUCAGGAUCCUUCUCCAUAUGGUCAGUGUCGAUGGAGUGCACGUUAACAAAGAGGUUCUUCUUGGCCUUGAGUACAUAAAAGAAGAUGGCAAACUGAAACCUGUUCCAAAACGGACGGUUGACCAAAGUGGGAUCUUGGUCUGCCUCAUAGGGGUUGCGGCGACGUCUUGCCCAGAACUCCUUGGCUUGCAUUUCUGGCAUAGUUUUUCCAGAUUGCUUCGGCUUGACAGCAGAUUUCUUCUGGAGUUGAGGUGGAGGUGGAGCGCUUGAGGAACCUCCUGCAGACUCAGUUGUGCGGUAACGUUUUGACGUGGCACGACCGGGGUUGAUACGCCGAGCCUGAUGCUCAGGAAGCUCAUCACCUGGAACCACACACAAGAACACGCAAACAACCAGAAAGAAUGAGCAUAAGCCACCAAACACAACCAAAAAGGAUCACUGAUUAGUAAGAGUAUGGUGGAACCUGGUAGAGGGCGGUAGUACCGCGACCUGUGAGCGGCAGUACCGCUCCAAGCGGUAGUACCGCUCCAGAGGGAGCGGUAGUACCGCUCGAGACGGGAAAACAGCAGUUUCCUACUGCCGUGGUCAGAUCCGGCACUACUGUCCUACCAAAUUCAAAAAUACUUCUACCAAACACCAAUCCAAACUGCCUAGAUGCCUUCUACAUCCUACUCAAGCCUAGAUUUGGCCAAAAAUCUAGAGAUGCAACUACUAUUGCCCCUAAGAUGCUAGAUUGGAAAUCUAGACAAGAAGAGAGAGGGAACGGGGGCAAUACCGGCAUCCAUGGCAAGAUGACAAGGUGGGGAUCGUCUCCACCGAAGGAAAUGGAGAGGAGCGCCCCGGAGAGGGAGAACCGUCGGAGCCCUCCCGCGGCGCCGGUUGCUGGAGAGACGAACAGAGCGAGGGGGCGAGCGAAUGGGUAUGGGGGAGAAGAAAAACUCCCCCUGCCCCUGAUAUAACCCCCUGCCCCCGCCUCGCAGCAGUAGUACCGCGCUGGUGGGCGGUAGUACCGCUUAGAGCGGUAGUACCGCACACCACCAGUGGUAGUACCACUCAGCAACCAACAGGCCUCUAGACACACGGCUCUAGCUCAAAAAGGAACAGAAAACACAGCCAAGAAGGAGGAAAGACCAACACGGCCACAAACACACUAACAACGGACCAGAACACACCUCUUCAAGAGAGGGCGGUGGCCGAGGCCACCUAUGUUUGAGUCAAGAGGUAUGGCGUCGCGAAGAUUUUAACCUUGGACCCAUGACCAAAACUCGUCCUUGAAGCACCAGUACCAUAAAAUGGUUAAAGUGAAAGACUAGAUCAAUUUAUGCAUAAUGGGGGGAGGGAGAGUUCAUUGAGAGAGCAACACUCCCCCUAUGUCCAUGCCUACAUCUAGACUAGACAACAAGUAGAGUGAGGAGGGGUGUGCACGGGCUCAAGUCACAUUGCUCGAAUCAAUGAUAUUUAGCUCAUGCCUUAACUCGUGAAAUCUUGCUUCAUCCAAGGGCUUCGUGAAAAUAUCUGCAAGGUUAUCAUGAGUGUUGACAUACUUGAGCUCGAUCUCCCCUCGCCUAAUGUGAUCCCAGAUGAAGUGAUACUGAAUCUCAAUAUGCUUCGUCUUGAAAUGUUGCACCGGGUUGAGAGAAAUCUUGAUGGCACUUUCAUUGUCACACCAAAGAGGCACUUUGUCACAAAUGACACUGUAUUCCUUUAAAGUUUGCCUCAUCCAUAAGAGUUGUGCACAACAACUACCGGCCGCCACAUAUUCCGCUUCGAUGGACGAGAGAGACACACAACUUUGCUUCUUGGAAGACCAACUUGUUGGGGAGCGUAGUAAUUUCAAAAAUUUCCUACGCACACGCAAGAUCAUGGUGAUGGCAUAGCAACGAGAGGGGAGAGUGUUGUCUACAUACCCUUGUAGACGUAAGCGGAAGCGUUAGCAUAACGCGGUUGAUGUAGUCGUACGUCUUCACGGCCCGACCGAUCAAGCACCGAAACUACGGCACCUCCGAGUUCUAGCACACGUUCAGCUCGAUGACGUCCCUCGAACUCCGAUCCAGCCGAGUGUCGAGGGAGAGUUCCGUCAGCACGACGGCGUGGUGACGAUCUUGAUGUUCUACCGUCGGAGGGCUUCGCCUAAGCACCGCUACGAUAUUAUCGAGGUGGACUAUGGUGGAGGGGGGCACCGCACAUGGCUAAUAGAUCCAAGGGAUCAAUUGUUGUGUCUUUGGUGCUAGCCCUGCCCCUCUAUUUAUAUGUUGAGCCCCGGGGUCGAAACUUGGAGCAAAAGCCUCCUCAAAGUCGGUUUUGCCCGAAAGGCAAGAGUCCCACUCGGACUCCAGGACCAAACGCCACAAUCCUUGGCGUCUGGCCCAGACGCCAUGGGCCUCGGCGUCUGGCCCAGGACCAGACGCCAGGGUCUCCGGCGUUUGGCCCCCUGGCCUCCGCAAAACUCCUUUUGCACCGACCUAAAGCCUCAUGGGCUUGACCCCUUGGCCUAACCAUAUCAUCCAAUAUAUGAAUCUUUACGUCUCGACCAUUUCGAGACUCCUCGUCAUGUCCCCGAUCUCAUCCGGGACUCCGAACUCCUUUGGUACAUCAAAACAUGUAAACUCAUAAUAUAACUGUCAUCGAAACCUUAAGCGUGCGGACCCUACGGGUUCGAGAACAAUGUAGACAUGACCUAGAACUAUUCUCGGUCAAUAACCAAUAGCGGAACCUGGAUGCUCAUAUUGGCUCCUACAUAUUCUACGAAGAUCUUUAUCGGUCAAACCGCAUAACAACAUGCGUUGUUCCCUUUGUCAUCGGUAUGUUACUUGCCCGAGAUUCGAUCGUCGGUAUCCAAUACCUAGUUCAAUCUCGUUACCGGCAAGUCUCUUUACUCGUUACGUAAUGCAUCAUUCCGUAACUAACUCAUUAGCUACAUUGCUUGCAAGGCUUAUAGUGAUGUGCAUUACCGAGAGGGCCCAGAGAUACCUCUCCGACAAUCGGAGUGACAAAACCUAAUCUCAAAAUACGCCAACCCAACAUGUACCUUUGGAGGCACCUGUAGUACUCCUUUAUAAUCACCCAGUUACGUUGUGACGUUUGGUAGCACCCAAAGUGUUCCUCCGGUAAACGGGAGUUGCAUAAUCUCAUAGUUACAGGAACAUGUAUAAGUCAUGAAGAAAGCAAUAGCAACAUACUAAACGAUCAAGUGCUAGGCUAACGGAAUGGGUCAUGUCAAUCACAUCAUUCUCCUAAUGAUGUGAUCCCGUUAAUCAAAUGAGAACUCAUGUCUAUGGCUAGGAAACUUAACCAUCUUUGAUUCACGAGCUAGUCAAGUAGAGGCAUACUAGUGACACUAUGUUUGUCUAUGUAUUCACACAUGUAUUAUGUUUCCGGUUAAUACAAUUCUAGCAUGAAUAAUAAACAUUUAUCAUGAUAUAAGGAAAUAAAUAAUAACUUUAUUAUUGCCUCUAGGGCAUAUUUCCUUCAGUCUCCCACUUGCACUAGAGUCAAUAAUCUAGUUCACAUCAUCAUGUGAUUCAACACCAAUAUUCACAUCUGUAUGUGAUUAACACCCAUAGUUCACAUCGUCAUGUGAUCAACACCCAAAGGGUUUACUAGAGUCAAUAAUCUAGUUCACAUCGCUAUGUGAUUAACACCCAAAAGAGUACUAAGGUAUGAUCAUGUUUUGCUCGUGAGAGGAGUUUAGUCAACGGGUCUGUCACAUUCAGAGUCGUAUGUAUUUUGCAAAUAUUCUAUGUCUACAAUGCUCUGCACGGAGCUACUCUAGCUAAUUGCUCCCACUUUCAAUAUGUAUCCAGAUUGAGACUUAGAGUCAUCUGGAUCGGUGUAAAAAGUUUGCACCGAUGUAACUUUUACGACGAAUUCUUUUAUCACCUCCAUAAUCGAGAAACAUCUCCUUAGUCCUCACUAAGGAUAUUCUUGACCGCUGUCCAGUGAUCUACUAUUAGAUCAAAAUUGUAUUCCUUUGCCAAAUUCAGAGCAAGGUAUACAAUAGGUCUGGUUCACAGCAUAGCAUACUUUAUAGAACCUAUGACUGAGGCAUAGUGAAUGACUUUUCAUUCUCUUUCUAUUUUCUGCAAUGGUCGGGUCUUGAGUCUUACUCAACUUCACACCUUGUAACACAGGCAAGAACUCCUUCUUUGACUGUUCCAUUUUGAACUAUUUCAAAAAUUUAUCAAGGUAUGUACUCAUUGAAAAAUCUUAUCAAGCGUCUUGAUCUAUCUAUAUAGGUCUGGAUGCUCAAUGUGUAAGUAGCUUUACUGAGGUCUUUCUUUUAAAGAACUCCUUUCAUAUACUCCUUUAUGCUUUCCAGAAAAAUUCUACAUCAUUUCUGAUCAAUCAAUAUGUUGCUCACAUAUAUUUAUCAAAAAGGCGGUAGUGCUCCCACUCACUUUAUUGUAAAUACAGGCUUCACCGCAAGACUGUAUAAAACUAUAUGCUUUGAUCAACUUAUCAAAUCGUAUAUUCCAACUCUGAGAUGCUUGCACCAGUCCAUAGAUGGAUCGCUGGAGCUUGCAUAUUUUGUUAGCACCUUUAGGAUUGACAAAACCUUCUGGUUGCAUCAUAUACAACUCUUCUUUAAGAAAACCAUUAAGGAAUGCAGUUUUGACAUCCAUUUGCCAGAUUUCAUAAAAUAUGGCAAUUGCUAACAUGAUUCGGACAGACUUAAGCAUCGCUACAGUUGAGAAAAUCUCAUUGUAAUCAACACCUUGAACUUGUCGAAAACCUUUUUGCGACAAGUCGAGCUUUGUAGAUAGUAACACUAAUAUCAACGUCUGUCUUCCUCUUAAAGAUCCAUUUAUUUAACAUGGCUUGCUGAUCAUCGAGCAAGUCAAUCAAAGUCCAUACUUUGUUCUCAUACAUGGAUCAUAUCUCAGAUUUUAUGGCCUCAAGCCAUUUCGUGGAAUCUGGGCUCAUCAUCGCUUCCUCACAGUUCGCAGGUUCAUCAUGGUCUAGUAACAUGACUUCCAGAACAUGAUUACUGCACCACUCUGGUGCGGAUCUUACUCUGGAAGACCUACAAGGUUUGGUAGUAACUUGAUCUGAAGUUUCAUGAUCAUCAUCAUUAACUUCCUCACUAAUUGGUGUAGGAAUCACUCGAACUGAUUUCUGUGAUAAACUACUUUCCAACAAGGGAGUAGAUAUAGUUACCUCAUCAAGUUCUACUUUGCUCCCACUCAAUUCUUUCGAGAGAAACUCCCUCUCUAGAAAGGAUCCAUUCUUAGCAAGAAAUGUUUUGCCUUUGGAUUUGUGAUAGAAGGAGUACCCAACAGUUUCCUUUGGGUAUUCUAUGAAGACGCACUUCUCCAAUUUGGGUUCGAGCUUAUCAAGUUGAAAACCUUUUUCAUAUAAGCAUCGCAACUCCAAACUUUAAGAAACAACAUCUUAGGUUUACUGCUAAACCAUAGUUCAUACGGUGCCAUCUCAACGGAUUUAGAUGGUGCCCUUUUAACGUGAAUGCAGCUGUCUCUAAUGCAUAACCCCAAAACGAUAAUGGUAAAUCAGUAAGAGACAUCAUAGAUCGCACCAUAUCCAAUAAAGUGCGGUUACGACGUUCGUACACACCAUAACGUUGUGGUGUUCCAGGUGGCGUGAGCUGUGAAACUAUUCCACAUUGUUUUAAUUGAAGACCAAACUCAUAACUCAAAUAUUCGUCUCCGCGAUCAGAUCGCAUAAACUUUAUUUUCUUGUUACGAUGAUUUUUCCACUUCACUCUGAAAUUCUUUGAACCUUUCAACUAUUUCAAACUUAUGUUUCAUCAAGUAGAUAUACCCAUAUCUGCUCAAAUCAUCUUGUGAAGGUCAGGAAAUAACGAUACUUGCCACGAGCAUCAACACUCAUUGGAUCGCAUACAUCGGUAUGUAUUAUUUCCAAUAAGUCAGUAGCUUGUUCCAUUGUUCCGGAGAACGGAGUUUUAGUCAUCUUGCCCAAAAGGCACGGUUCGCAAGCAUCAAAUGAUUCAUAACCAAGUGAUUCCGAAAAUCCAUCUUUAUGGAGUUUCUUCAUGCGCUUUACACCGAUAUGACCCAAACGGCAGUGCCACAAAUAAGUUGCACUAUCAUUAUUAACUUUGCAUCUUUUGGCUUCAACAUUAUGAAUAUGUGUAUCACUACGAUCGAGAUCCAACAAACUAUUUUCAUUGGGUGUAUGACCAUCGAAGGUUUUAUUCAUGUAAACAGAACAACAAUUAUUCUUUGACUUUAAAUGAAUAACCGUAUCGCAAUGAACAUGAUCAAAUCAUAUUCAUGUUCAACGCAAACGCCAAACAACAUUUAUUUAGGUUUAACACUAAUCCCGAAAGUAUAGAGAGUGUGCGAUGAUGAUCAUAUCAAUCUUGGAACUACUUCCAACACUCAUCGUCACUUCCCCUUCAACUAGUCUUUGUUUAUUCUGUAACUCCUGUUUCGAGUCACUAAUCUUAGCAACCGAACAAGUAUCAAAUACUCAGGGGCUACUAUAAACACUAGUAAGGCACACAUCAAUAACCUGUAUAUCAAAUAUACUCUUGUUCACCUUGCCAUCCUUCUUAUCCACCAAAUAUUCAGGGCAUUUCCGCUUCUAGUGACCAUUUCCUUUGCAGUAUAAUCACUCGGUUUCGGGCUUUGGUCCAACUUUGGGCUUCUUCGCGGGAGUGACAACUUGCUUGUCAUUCUAGUUGGGGACGUGGGCAUAGCCCAGUGGUUGGGGGCGCAUGAUUGUAAACCUAACGACCAGAGUUCGAUCCACGUCGGGGACGAAUUUCUGGAAUUCUCAUGAGGGAUGCUUCUUCUAUAUCAAUAAAACCGUGGGUGCUAGUGCCCAUGGAGUUUCAUUUUUUUUUCUAGUUGAAGUUCACUUUCUUUCCCUUUGCCCUUUUCUUGAAACUAGUGAUCUUGUCAAUCAUCAACACUUGAUGCUCUUUCUUGAUUUCUACCUUCGUCGAUUUCAACAUCACGAAGAGCUUGGGAAUCACUUUCGUCAUCCCUUGCAUAUUAUAGUUCAUCACGAAGUUCUACUAACUUGGUGAUGGUGACUAGAGAAUUCUGUCAAUCACUAUUUUAUCUGGAAGAUUAACUCCCACUUGAUUCAAGUGAUUGUAGUACCCAGACAAUCUGAGCACAUGCUCACUAGUUGAGCGAUUCUCCUCCAUCUUUUAGCUAUAGAACUUGUUGGAGACUUCAUAUCUCUCAACUCGGGUAUUUGCUUGAAAUAUUAACUUCAAUUCCUGGAACAUCUCAUAUGGUCCAUGACGUUCAAAACGUCUUUGAAGUCCCGAUUCUAAGCCGUAAAGCAUGGUGCACAAAACUAUCAAGUAGUCAUCAUAUUGAGCUAGCCAAACGUUCAUAACGUCUGCAUCUGCUCCUGCAAUAGGUCUGUCACCUAGCGGUGCAUUAAGGACAUAAUUCUUCUGUGCAGCAAUGAGGAUAAACCUCAGAUCACGGAUCCAAUCCGCGUCAUUGCUACUAACAUCUUUCAACACAAUUUUCUCUAGGAACAUAUCAAAACAAACAUAUGAAAGCAACAAUGCAAGCUAUUGAUCUACACCAUAAUUUGCAAAAUACUAUCAGGACUAAGUUCAUGAUAAAUUAAAGUUCAAUUAAUCAUAUUACUUAAGAACUCCCACUUAGAAAGACAUCCCUCUAAUCCUCUAAGUGAUUACGUGAUCCAUAUCAACUACACCAUGUCCGAUCAUCACGUGAGAUGGAGUAGUUUCAACGGCGAACAUCAAUAUGUUGAUCAUAUCUACUAUAUGAUUCACGCUCGACCUUUCGGUCUCCGUGUUCCGAGGCCAUAUCUGUAUAUGCUAGGCUCGUCAAGUUUAACCUGAGUAUUCCGCGUGUGCAACUGUUUUGCACCCGUUGUAUUUGAACGUAGAGCCUAUCACACCCGAUCAUCACGUGGUGUCUCAGCACGAAGAACUUUCGCAACGGUGCAUACUCAGGGAGAACACUUCUUGAUAAUUAGUGAGAGAUCAUCUUAAAAUGCUACCGUCAAUCAAAGCAAGAUAAGAUGCAUAAAGGAUAAACAUCACAUGCAAUCAAUAUAAGUGAUAUGAUAUGGCCAUCAUCAUCUUGUGCUUGUGAUCUCCAUCUUCGAAGCACCGUCGUGAUCACCAUCGUCACCGGCGCGACACCUUGAUCUCCAUCGUAGCAUCGUUGUCGUUAUGCCAUCUAUUGCUUCUACGACUAUCGCUACCGCUUAGAGAUAAAGUAAAGCAAUUACAGGGCGUUUGCAUUUCAUACAAUAAAGCGACAACCAUAUGGCUCCUGCCAGUUGCCGAUAACUUCGGUUACAAAACAUGAUCAUCUCAUACAAUAAAAUAUAGCAUCACGUCUUGACCAUAUCACAUCACAACAUGCCCUACAAAAACAAGUUAGACGUCCUCUACUUUGUUGUUGCAAAUUUUACGUGGCUGCUAUGGGCUUUAGCAAGAACCGUUCUUACCUACGCAUAAAAACCACAACGAUAGUUCGUCAAGUUGGUACUGUUUUAACCUUCGCAAGGACCGGGCGUAGCCACACUCGAUUCAGCUAAAGUGAGAGAGACAGACACCCGCCAGCCACCUUUAAGCACGAGUGCUCGUAACGGAGAAACCAGUCUCGCGUAAGCAUACGCGUAAUGUCGGUCCGGGCCGCUUCAUCUCACAAUACCGCCGAACCAAAGUAUGACAUGCUGGUAAGCAGUAUGACUUGUAUCGCCCACAACUCACUUGUGUUCUACUCGUGCAUAUAACAUCAACGCAUAAAACCUAGGCUCGGAUGCCACUAUUGGGGAACAUAGUAAUUUCAAAAAUUUCCUACGCACACGCAAGAUCAUGGUGAUGGCAUAGCAACGAGAGGGGAGAGUGUUGUCUACAUACCCUUGUAGACGUAAGCGGAAGCGUUAGCACAACGCGGUUGAUGUAGUCGUACGUCUUCACGGCCCGACCGAUCAAGCACCGAAACUACGGCACCUCCGAGUUCUAUCACACGUUCAGCUCGAUGACGUCCCUCGAACUCCGAUCCAGCCGAGUGUCGAGGGAGAAUUCCGUCAGCACGACGGCGUGGUGACGAUCUUGAUGUUCUACCGUCGCAGGGCUUCGCCUAAGCACCGCUACGAUAUUAUCGAGGUGGACUAUGGUGGAGGGGGGCACCGCACACGGCUAAUAGAUCCAAGGGAUCAAUUGUUGUGUCUUUGGUGCUAGCCCUGCCCCUCUAUUUAUAUGUUGAGCCCCGGGGUCGAAACUUGGAGCAAAAGCCUCCUCAAAGUCGGUUUUGCCCGAAAGGCAAGAGUCCCACUCGGACUCCAGGACCAAAUGCCACAAUCCUUGGCGUCUGGCCCAGACGCCAUGGGCCUCGGCGUCUGGCCCAGGACCAGACGCCAGGGUCUCCGGCGUUUGGCCCCCUGGCCUCCGCAAAACUCCUUUUGCACCGACCUAAAGCCUCAUGGGCUUGACCCCUUGGCCUAACCAUAUCAUCCAAUAUAUGAAUCUUUACGUCUCGACCAUUUCGAGACUCCUCGUCAUGUCCCCGAUCUCAUCCGGGACUCCGAACUCCUUCGGUACAUCAAAACAUGUAAACUCAUAAUAUAACUGUCAUCAAAACCUUAAGCGUGCGGACCCUACGGGUUUGAGAACAAUGUAGACAUGACCUAGAACUAUUCUCGGUCAAUAACCAAUAGCGGAACCUGGAUGCUCAUAUUGGCUCCUACAUAUUCUAUGAAGAUCUUUAUCGGUCAAACCGCAUAACAACAUACGCUGUUCCCUUUGUCAUCGGUAUGUUACUUGCCCGAGAUUCGAUCGUCGGUAUCCAAUACCUAGUUCAAUCUCGUUACCGGCAAGUCUCUUUACUCGUUACGUAAUGCAUCAUUCCGUAACUAACUCAUUAGCUACAUUGCUUGCAAGGCUUAUAGUGAUGUGCAUUACCGAGAGGGCCCAGAGAUACCUCUCCGACAAUCGGAGUGACAAAACCUAAUCUCGAAAUACGCCAACCCAACAUGUACCUUUGGAGGCACCUAUAGUACUCCUUUAUAAUCACCCAGUUAUGUUGUGACGUUUGGUAGCACCCAAAGUGUUCCUCCGGUAAACGGGAGUUGCAUAAUCUCAUAGUUACAGGAACAUGUAUAAGUCAUGAAGAAAGCAAUAGCAACAUACUAAACGAUCAAGUGCUAGGCUAACGGAAUGGGUCAUGUCAAUCACAUCAUUCUCCUAAUGAUGUGAUACCGUUAAUCAAAUGAGAACUCAUGUCUAUGGCUAGGAAACUUAACCAUCUUUGAUUCACGAGCUAGUCAAGUAGAGGCAUAGUAGUGACACUAUGUUUGUCUAUGUAUUCACACAUGUAUUAUGUUUCCGGUUAAUACAAUUCUAGCAUGAAUAAUAAACAUUUAUCAUGAUAUAAGGAAAUAAAUAAUAACUUUAUUAUUGCCUCUAGGGCAUAUUUCCUUCACAACUCACCAAAGAGCAACGAAGAAAUUGGCACCCUCCGGAAGUGGACUUCCUAUCCACCUUGUCUCCCGCCCAAUCGGAAUCCGUAAAUCCUUCAAGCUCGAAGUUUUCUCCUCUUGGGUACCAAAGGCCAAAGUUUGGGGUAUGAGCCAAAUAUCGAAAGAUUCGCUUGACCGCCACAAAAUGGCUUUCCUUUGGUGCGGCUUGAAACCGUGCACACAUACCCACACUCAACAUGAUAUCCGGUCUAGAUGCACAAAGGUAAAGCAAGGAUCCAAUCAUAGAGCGAUAUACCUUUUGAUCCACCGCUUUACCAUUGGGAUCAAUGUCAAGUUGGCAUUGGAGUAGAAGCCGGCUGGACAUCACUUAGCUUGAAUCUCUUAAGCAUGUCUUGAGUGUAUUUGGCUUGGUUGAUGAAGGUACCUUCUCUUCUUGUUUGAUAUCAAAACCAAGGAAGAACUUCAACUCUCCCAUUGAAGACAUCUUGAACUUAGAGGUCAUGAGAGCGGAAAAUUCUUCAUUGAAAGCUUUGUUAGGGGAACCAAAGAUAAUGUCAUCAACAUAUAGUUGGCACACAAACAACUCCCCUUUGACCUUCUUAGUAAAAAAAAAGUGGGAUCGAUUUUCCCAACUUCAAAUCCACGAUCUUGUAACAACUCGAUAAGGUGGUCAUACCACGCACGUGGGGCUUGUUUAAGGCCAUAGAGUGCCUUAUCGAGUUGAUACACAUGAUCUGGGAAGUAAGGAUCCUCGAACCCGGGGGGUUGCUUGACAUAAACCAACUCAUUAAUAGGACCAUUAAGAAAAGCACUUUUCACAUCCAUUUGUUGUAACUUAAAGUUAUGAUGGGAAGCAUAAGCAAUCAACAAACGAAUGGAUUCAAGGCGAGCAACGGGAACAAAGGUUUCACCGUAGUCGAUACCCUCGACUUGGGAGUAGCCUUGUGCUACCAAUCUUGCCUUGUUGCGAAUGAUGUUCCCAUGAGCAUCUUGCUUGUUCUUGAAAAUCCACUUGGUUCCAAUGACGUUGUGGUUCCCCGAUGGCCUUGGCACCAAUCUCCAAACCUUGUUGUACUCGAAGUUGUUGAGUUCUUCGUGCAUGGCAUUGAGCCAAUCCGAGUCUUCGAGCGCCUCAUGGACCUUUUGGGGUUCAACACAAGAGACAAACGUGUGAUGUUCACAAUAGUUUGCUAAUUGUCUAUGAGUGCUUACCCCCUUUCUUAGGCUUCCAACCACAUUUUCCAUGAGGUGGCCUUUGGUGGUGAGCUUGGAAGCAAUCUUCGCGGCACAACGCUCUAAUUCCUCCUCGGAUGUGGAAGGAGGAGGGUUAACUUGAUUAUCUUGAGCGUCGUCUUGAGCUUGUUCUUGAUCUUGAGCUUGCUCAUGAUCUUGAACUUGCUCGAGGGGGAGAACUUGACCUUGGGCAUCAUUUGGAGGUUCACCACCAUCUUGAGAUUGAUCUUGCCCUUGGUCUUGUUCACGAGGUUGAGGGCCUACACUUUGUUCUUCGGAAGCGUGUGGGUCUUGAGUAGGUCAAGGCUCCACUUGAGUGGAUCAUUGUCCUUCUCCUUCGGCCACAAGGGGUUCCUCAAUGGGUAGAAUAUUACCAAUACCCAUUCUUCUUAUGGCUUGGGGAGGAAUUUCAUCACCUACAUCACAAGUACCACUUUGCUCCACUUGGGAGCCGUUAUUUUCGUCAAACUCCACGUUACAUGUCUCCUCAAUGAGUCCGGUGGACUUGUUGAGAACACGGUAAGCAUGAGAGUUUGUAGCAUAACCAACAAAUAUGCCCUCAUAAGCUCUAGCCUCAAAUUUAGACAACCGAACACCUUUCUUGAGAAUGAAAUACUUACACCCGAACACCCGGAAGUACUUGAGAUUGGGCUUGUUUCCGGUGAGUAUCUCAUAAGGAGUCUUGUUCAAGCCUUUGUGGAGAUAGAGUCGAUUGGAUGCAUGACAUGCGGUGUUGAUGGCUUCGGCCCAAAAGUUGUAUGGAGACUUGAACUCCGCCAUCAUGGUCCUUGCCGCAUCCAUCAAUGUCCGGUUCUUCCUCUUCGCAACACCAUUUUGUUGAGGGGUAUAUGGUGCAGAAUGUUGAUGCUUGAUCCCCUCAUCACUAAGAAACUCACCCAAGGUGUAGUUCUUGAACUCGGUGCCGUUGUCACUUCUUAUUGUCAAGAUCUUUGCAUUAUGUUGAUGUUGAGCUUCAUUUGCAAAGUCGAUGACGGUUUGUUGAGUCUCACUCUUCCUCUUGAAGAAGUAUACCCAAGUGUAUCUUGAAUAAUCAUCCACAAUCACCAAGCAAUACUUUCUACCCCCAAGACUAUCAAAGGAUGGAGGUCCAAAGAGGUCCAUGUGAAGGAGCUCCAAGGGUCUCUUCGAGUAGAUGAUAGUCGUGGGAGGGUGAGCCGUCUCAUGUAGCUUUCCUUUGAUACAAGCACUGCAAGCAUGAUCUUUGGCAAAACUAACAUUUGUUAGUCCACGGACAUGGUCCCCCUUGAGAAGACUUUGCAAAGAUCUCAUAUUGACGUGGGCUAAACGGCGAUGCCAAAGCCAUCCCACAUCAACUUUAGCCAUUAGGCAUGUCGCGGUCUUAGUGGGUUGCUCCGAAAAGUUAAUCACAUAGAGACCAUUCUCGACAUGCCCAAGAAAGGCCACUUUAAGAGUCUUGCUCCAUAAGAGGGCCACGGUAUCAAUAUCAAAGAAGGUGGCAAAGCCCAUGAGUGCAAGUUGAUGAACGGAAAGUAAAUUGAAUGCAAGGGACUCAACAAGCAUGACUUUCUCGAUCGUUAGAUCAUGAGAAAUGACAACCUUGCCAAGACCCAAUACCUUAGAAUGUGAGGCAUCACCCCACUCGACAUUGGUGGGCAUAGAUGGGAUCUUUUGCACGUCCACCACCAAGUCCUUGCUCCCGGUCAUAUGAUUUGUUGCUCCACUAUCGAGCAACCAUGACCCCCCACCGGAAGCAAACACCUACAAGAGAUCAAUGCUUGGUUUUAGGUACCCAUUUAGUAAUGGGUCCUUUGAUGUUAGUAACAAGGGUCUUAGGCACCCAAAUAGACCAUUCAAUGUACCCAUAAGCAGAACCAACAAAUUUAGCAUAAACAUGCCCAUCACUAGCACGGCACAACACAUAAGAGGGGUUAAAGUCGUCGGCUUUGUUGGGAGAGAUGGCUUUGCCCUUUUUGGCAUCACCACUCUUCGCAUUGUUAUUCUUCUCCUUAGGAGCACCCUCUCCCUCCUUCACAAAAGUUUGCUUAAGCGGGGGAGGUCGUUUGGUCUUGUUAUUCUUCUUCUCGUUCUUCUUCUUAUUCUUGGACUUGGGUGAGAACCCAACUCCCUCCUUGCCCACAACUUCCUUUUGAUUGCUCAAAAAGUCAUUUAGGUUCUUCUCACCUUGUAUGCAUGACACAAGACCUUUCUCAAGUUGUUCCUUCAACUUGGCAUUCUCCUCCACAAGAUGCACAUGCUCACAACACGGGUUAGUAGCAUUUGCAUUAUCAAUUAAGACCAUGUGAGGAAAUGUGGCCUUUUCCUUGGUUAGCUUAACUUGGAGUUGAGCAUGAGACUCCUUGAGGUUUGCAUGAGCACCUUUCAAGACCUUAUGGGCCUUGUCACGUACAUCAAACUCCUCCUUGAGUCUAGCAUGAUCAACCCCAAGUUUAGCCUUCUCGGAAGUUAGCACACGAGACACAACAAGAGCAUGAUCAAUAUCUUUCUUUAAUUUGGCAUGGUCAUCGUUGUGUGACUCCUCAAGAGCCAAAUGAUGCCCACGCUCUUCCUCAAGAGCAUUAGAGAGAUCCGAUAUCUCAUCGGCAUAGUCACGACUAUGACCUUCCAUCUUAGAGAUGGUUUCUUCGUGAGCCUCGAUCAUGUCAUUGGCUUCACCAAGUUGUUCCAAGAGAGCAACGAAGUGCUUCUUGGAUUUGCCCUUGAGCUUACUCAUGAAGGACUCAAAUUCAUUUACCUCCUCAUUAGACCCCUUACCAUCAUCAAAGCCAAUGGUCAAAGAAGGAUUAGGAAUAGUGGUGGUUUUGAUGUUGGGGGUUACCUUGUUGGUGGCUUUGGCCAUGAGGCACUUGGCGGUGAUGUUCUCGUUGGGUGAGUCGAAGAGAGACACCCGGGGAGUUGUGGCAAUGGCAACGGAUGCCAUAGCCAUUGCUUCACUAUCUUCAUCAUCAUCGUCAUCCUCAUGGUAUUCUUCUUGAACCACCAACCCGCGAGUAGGAGUCUUCUUGGUGAAGUUGUUCUUGUUGGGGAAGGACUUGGCUUUGUCCUUUUGGAUGAACUUUCCACCAUUGUCUUCCCGCUUCUCGUAAGGACAAUCCGCAACGAAAUGGCUCACAUUGCCACAGUUGAAACAAGUUCUAACUCGUUGCUUGCCCUUGAGUCCACUUGAGUUGUUCUUGUUGAAGUUGGGUCUUGUAUUCUUCUUGCUCCAAAAUUGUCUUGAGGCAAGAGCCAUGUGCUCAUGAUAAUCAUAUUUCGUGUCUUCGAGGUUGCUCUCCUCAUCUUCCUCUUCUUCCUCUUCUUCCACACUAACCUUGGCCUUCAAGGCAAGGUUGGGCUUCUUUGCCCUUUGAGAACGGAGCACCGCAUUAUCGGCGGUCUUGUCCAAGAUGCUCAUUGCAACGAACUCAUCCAACACUUCACUUGAGGUCAUGGAGUGGAAGUCCGGUCUUUGACGAAUGACGGAGGACAUGGCCUUGUUGUAGGGCAUCAUGGCCUUGAGGAACUUGCGCUUGAUCAAAUUGUCAUCCGUGUCCUUGCUCCCAUGAUCUCGGAGUGUGACCGCGAGUUUGGUCACUCUUCGAAAGAGCUCACGAGGUUCUUCAUCUUCUUUCAUUGCAAACUCAUCGGCUUCAUCUUGCACCACUUCAUAGUUGGAGCGUUGAAUGAUAGCACUUCCUCGAUAGAGAGACACAACACAUUGCCAUGCGUCUUUAGCCAUGGCAUGAGGUCGGAGAUGAGGGAGAUCUUCGGGAAGGAUUGCAUCUUGGAUGAUGAAGAGAGCACUCUCAUUGAAUUGAUUAUCCACGGCUUCUCGAUGGGUGAAGUUGCUUGGGUCAUGUGGAUAGAAACCUUCUUCUAUGAUUCUCCAAAGAUUAGUAUUCACAUGUUUUAAAUGACGCUUGAAACGAUAAACCCAAGCAUCAAAAUCCUCAUUUUUCACAAUCUUAGGAGGAGGACCGGCAUGAUUUAAAUGAGUAGAGGGAAUCGGUCCACCAUAAGUAGGAGGUUCCACAUGGGCAUAGAUGCCGGUGCCAUUUCUACCACUAGUAGAAGGACCCUUCUCACUAUUAGCUUCCCCCUUGUCGGAAUUAGCAUCCGUCACCUUGUUAGUGGGAUCACCCACUUUCAUCGGCGAGGUGGAUAGUUUAAGUCCUUCUAGGAAUUUAGUAAACAUGCUUUCAACCUCGGUCGUCAUGGAGGUUUUCAAUGUGUCUAAAGCCACAUUGAACUCCUCACGGGAGACAGAGGUUCCCCCAUCGGCCGUAGACGAGAUAGGAUUCACACCGGAGCGCUCCUCCGCACCGUUGUUGGUGUCAACCAUACUCUUCGGACGGCAAAGUCCUUAAUAAAGAGACGAGGCUCUGAUACCAAUUGAAAGGAUCGAUAUGGUUGACUAGAGGGGGGGUGAAUAGGCAACUAACAAUUUUUAAGCUUUUCUUUAACAAUUUAAACCUUGCAACAAAAUAGGUUGUCUAGAUAUGCAACUAUGUGGACAACCUAUAUGAUGCAAAGACAACUAGCACACAAGCAAGCAAUAGAUGCAACACAAGUAAGCUUGCAAAAGUAAAGGCACGAAAUAACCAAGAGUGGAGCCAGUGGAGACGAGGAUGUGUUACCGAAGUUCCUUCCUUUUAAGGGGAAGUAUGUCUUCGUUAGAGCGGUGUGGAGGCACAAUGCUCCCCAAGAAGCCACUAGGGCCACCAUAAUCUCCUCACGCCCUCACACAAUGCGAGAUGUCGUGAUUCCACUAUUAGUGCCCUUGAAGGCGGCGACCGAGCCUUUACAAACAAGGUUGGGGCUAUCUCCACAACACUUGGAGGCUCCCAACAACACCACGAAGCUUCACCACAAUGGAGUAUGGCUUCGAGGUGACCUCAACCGUCUAGGGUGCUCAAACACCCAAGAGUAACAAGAUCUGCUAGGGAUUAGUGGGGGAAAUCAAAUUUCUCUUGGUGGAAGUGUAGAUCGGGGCCUUCUUAACCAAUCCCGAGCAAAUCAACAAGUUUGAUUGGCUAGGGAGAGAGAUCGGACAAAAAUGGAGCUUGGAGCAACAAUGGAGCUUUUGGGGGAAGAGGUAAGUCAACUUUGGGGAAGAAGACACCUUUAUAUAGUGGGGGAAACAAUCCAACCGUUACCCCCCCCCCCCAAAGAGCCACGCACAGAGCGGUACUACCGCUUGGGCAGGACGGUACUACCGCUGAUAAGCGGUACUACCGCUCCCUCCCAGCGGUACUGCCGCGCUGACGAGGGAUGCAGGGUCCUGGCCCCAGAGCGGUACUACCGCGGAAGUAUUGGCGGUACUACCGCUUGGAGCGGUACUACCGCCACUACUACCGCUACUAGUACCGUAAAACCCGACACGAAAAACAAUGGUUGAGAGUCGAGGCGGUAGUAGCCCGGAACCACUGCGGUACUACGGCCGAAGACCGCAAGCGGUACUACCGCUCGGGGAGCGGUACUACCGCUUGACGUGCUUCGGCGGUACUACCGCUGAGGACCGCAGUACUACCGCUGGGACAGGACAGGCAGGCAUAGAUAGGAAAGAUAGCUCCAAUGAAGCAGAAAGAAGCAUCCGUUGUGAUAAGGAUGUGUACGUGUUGAUUCCACCCUAGCAUUACCAAAGCGGAUCCCCUCUUGAUAGUACGGUGACUCCUACGAAACUAGACCACCAGCAGAGAAACGAAGGAGCUACACCGUCUUGAAUAAAACACCGAGGGGAGGUAAUCGUCUCGUGCCAAAGGAUGAAUCUCUAAAAGAACUCAACGCACAUGAUUAGUCCGCAAAAGCAUUGUCAUCAAUCACCAAAACAUCUUGGGGAUAAGUAUGCCCUUACACCUCCGUCCCAAAAUAAGUGUCUCAGACACUUAUUUCGGGACGGAGGGAGUAAUAGUUACUCCCUCCGUUCCUAAAUAUAAGUCUUCGUAGAGGUUCCACUAUGGAUCACAUACGGAUGUAUAUAGAUGCAUUUUAGAGUGUAGAUUCACUCAUUUUGCUUCGUAUGUAGUUCGUAGUGGAAUCUCUACAAAGACUUAUAUUUAGGAACGGGUGGAGUAUCAUAGAUCAUAGAUGGUGCAAUGCUGUUCCGGUACAUUUUUUUAGUUUGGCAUUGGUGAAUAAGAUGCAAUGAAAAUUUACAAGGAUAAGUACAAAUCCAGAGCCUCGGAGGUGGUAGUAUAUAGUUGCAUCUACCAACUUGCACAUAGGACACCUAUGGUCUAUGGCAGUUGGUUGAUGCUUUGGAUGAAUUUACUGGUGGUGUGGUCUUUGGUUAGUCACUAGUGUUCAAGUUGAUAUCUCGAGUUUGUGAAGAUGAGCAGAAGAGCCAGAUAUGGGUUGCGGAGGAUGGCACUGUGGAGAAAUAUAACGCUCGUUUGAGGUUGUCCUCCUACUCUGAAACAAUCCACAAUUAGCUGGCAAAAACUUCAACAUCCUCGAAAGAGAAUCGGCACAAACACAUUAUAAAUAGCGAUGCCAGCAUACAAAUAGACCAAUUGAAGGGCUCCUUUGAUUCAAAGGAAUUGCAUACAGGUUUUAUAGGAUUGGAUCCUAUAGAAAAAUGUCCUAUCUUUGUACUACUUUCUAUAGGAAAUCUAGCAAUCACUAGAACCUCUUUCUAGAAUUUCUUUGAUGGAAUCAAAAGAAUUUUGGUGCUGAGCUGGCGGUUUCUUGGAGAGACGGUGAGAGUUUACUCUUUCCUGUGGUUUUCUUUGGGGUAUGGAGUUAAUUCAAGUGUUUAUUACCUAGAGUAGAACAAAAGAUGUGUCCAAUUUGAGUUAUUAUGGAUGUUUUGGGUUAUUUCAAGUUAGUAGUACUAAGAAAAGAUCGAUUUAUUGUCUCUUGCAGCUGUCAUUAUACUACCACUGCUAGCAUUAAUUAUUGAAGGGUUUCUAUUUCGGUUUAGGGCUAUUUCAAGCGAUAAAUCACGAGUGGACAUGCAGCCACGCGAGGUCGAAAUCAAAACUGUCCAUUCCCAUGUGAUUCGUGCAACUUUAAUACAUCAAGUGCGUAUAUUAAAUUUCAUCCACGGUAUACAAAUGGUAUAGCUCGCUCAUUACCUCUGACCUUGCCAGGAGAUGGCCCACAAGUCAGCCUCAUGCAUUGAAACAACAUUGAAUAGCUUUUAUCCAUCCAUGCAAACUCAUGACAGGAGAAUGCCCUGCGUACAAGCCAACCACCAAAAACACCUUCGGCUUAACCCAUUUGUUUAAUGAGCCACAAAUUAAUUCUGUUGUAAACGGAUGGCAGGACAUCAAGGCACCCAACAUCUUUUAAAUGCAACACGCGGGCCAUAACAUGCAGGCCAUCCCUGGUCCAACCCACAGCUCCUUUCUCAUUCAUCCUGCUUCUCUAGUUCUUGCAUUCUAGAGCCUAGAACUCAUCCAUAGAGAUAUGGAGCUCUUUUGGAAGAAAAAAAUAAAGAUGUAGAAUUGUAGUUGUACAGAUGUGUCACUCAAUGCCUAAGAGUACUUCACCGGCUCGUCCAACAACAAUACUUUAUGCUCAUGUCCCAGGUUCAUUUAUGAAAAGGAUUAACAUGGUAGAGCAAAGCAUGAAAAAACCAUGUUAGAACACAUUCAAGCCUGGAGUGGUAGAUGACAGGAUAAAACAUGAAGUCUCCAUUGAUGUGGUAUAUGUACUAGAUGUAAUAUGUAAUACAUUUAACUCGGCAGAUGUAUAAACACAUCGAACAACAUAUCCAUCAACGGAAAAAAUAUAUUGCAAGCCUCAUACGUAGAAACAACAAUUCAAGUAAAAACAAUUGAGCCCAAAACACUGCACCACAUCACUUGUAUUUACAGUUCAGUACAACACCACGUUAUGAGGAUCUGCACAUUCACUCGAAUUGGCAGAGUAGCAAUAAAAGACACCACCAUUAAAAACGCAUUUAAGAUGCCUAGCUCAACCCACAUGUAUCACAGACGCGUAUCUCCAAAUUAACCAACGGUAUCAUUUUGGUAUUCAAUAAUUUACUAUAUUAAAUACUAAUCUCAUAGCACAUAUGAACAACCGAGAUUUCAUCCUCACGUAGCACCAUGUCCCAAAAAUCCGCGUCCCUAUUUCAAGUUACUACUAAGAUCGAUUUAUUGUCUCUUCCAACUCCCAUUAUGCUACUAGCAGCAUUGUUUCUAUUUCAUAAUUGUGCCUUGAAAUUCCAAUGUUAUUUGUGAAAAAUGUUGCUUUGCUGAAACACAUAAGUUUAUUUACAUAAUUCAGAUCUUUUUUUGGUCACAGUCAAGUUUUUAUUGUUUAGUAAAUCAACAAAACCAUAUCAUGCAAUCACAAAUUUAGUACAAAAUCAUUGUUUUCUUAGGGGUGAUAUAAAUGUUCUCAUCGUUCUAUAUUAGUUGUUGAUGAUUUAGUACAACUUGAUUUAGCACAAAGACGUACUAAAUCAGCGAGAACUAAUAUGGAACGUAGGGAGUAAGUUUUUCUUUUGUAUUGGAAAAAUUUCCUAAGCUACCAAACAAGGCCUAAAGAAGUUUUCUGGAUCGUCAUGUUUUUCUGAGUUGAUUGACAUUGUCUACGAGAAACGUUACUGGUUCCAUGGAUGUACUAUGUAAUAAGAGUUAUAAUAGAUCACAGAUGGUGCAAUUCUGUUGCAGUACAUUUUUUAAGUUUGGCAUUAGUGAAUGAGAUGCAAUGAAAAUUUACAAGGAUAUGUACAAAUUUAGAGCCUCGGAGGUGGUAGUAUAUAGCUGCAUCUACCAUCUUGCACAUAGGACACCUAUGGUCUAUGGACAGUUGGUUGAUGCUCUGGAUGAAUUUACUGGCGUUGUGGUCUUUGGUUAGUCACUAGUGUUCAAGUUGAUAUCUCGAGUUUGUGAAGAUGAGAAAUAUAACGCUCGUUUGAGGAUGUCCUCCUACUCCGACACAAUCCACAAUUAGCUGACAAAAGCUUCCAACAUCCUCCAAAGAGAAUCGGCACAAACACAUUACAAAUAGAGAUGCCAGCAUACAAAUAGAACAAUUUAAGGGCUCCUUUGAUUCCAAAGGAAUUGCAUACAAGUUUUAUAGGAUUGGAUCCUAUAGAAAAAUUUCCUAUCUUUGUACUACUCCCUCCAUCCGGAAAAACUUGUCCCUCAAAUGGAUGUAUCUAGCACCAAGUUAGUGCUAGAUAUAUCCAUUUGACAAACAAGCUUGGGACAAGUUUUUCCGGACGUAGGGAGUACUUUCCAUAGGAAAUCUACUAGCAAUCACUACACCUCUUUUUAGAAUUUCUUUCAGGGAAUCAAAAGAAUUUUGGUGCAUACAAAAUCAUGUAGGACUGGAGUGGGUAAGACAUUGCAAUCCCCUAUCCUAUGUACUCUCACAACACAGAACUGUGUGUCAGGAACAAGAGAUUCUUAUCAGUGCGCAACCUUGUGACGUUAACAAUUGACAAAUCAAGAUAUUAGGUUUCUGCCAGAAAUGGAUGCUGUAACGGGGGUAUGGGGUGCAAGUUCACACCGUGGCAGGGCUUUCUACAGCAAUACGUCUUCUGAAAACAUACAACAAUCGCAUGUACAAAACCCCGACAAGCUACAUAACCGAAUAAACAGCUGGGUAUCAAGUAAUCAAACAAAGCAAGUAACAAUAAAACAAAGGCACCAAUCUGACAUAAAUAUCUUAAAAAGAUUGGUCUUCUCAAAAUAGAAACCACGGGCUUAAUUCCAAAAUCCAACACUAUGGCCAUAGAUAGCUCUAAAGGUACGGACUGGUAAUACAGGACAGAGUUUUGGGAUAAAAUUCACCGACUAGCCACGCUCUAUUUCUUCUUGUCACCAGCACCACCACCACCA